Molecule: ribosomal RNA, 433 nt
Filed under: uncultured bacterium
Lineage: Bacteria
Description: partial 16S ribosomal RNA
Rfam family: Bacterial small subunit ribosomal RNA
Source: RNAcentral
AACGAACGCUGGCGGCAGGCCUAACACAUGCAAGUCGAGCGCGCCCUUCGGGGUGAGCGGCGGACGGGUGAGUAACGCGUGGGAACGUGCCCUUUUCUACGGAAUAGCCUCGGGAAACUGAGAGUAAUACCGUAUACGCCCUUUGGGGGAAAGAUUUAUCGGAAAAGGAUCGGCCCGCGUUGGAUUAGGUAGUUGGUGGGGUAAUGGCCUACCAAGCCGACGAUCCAUAGCUGGUUUGAGAGGAUGAUCAGCCACACUGGGACUGAGACACGGCCCAGACUCCUACGGGAGGCAGCAGUGGGGAAUCUUAGACAAUGGGGGCAACCCUGAUCUAGCCAUGCCGCGUGAGUGAUGAAGGCCUUAGGGUUGUAAAGCUCUUUCAGCCGGGAAGAUAAUGACGGUACCAGCAGAAGAAGCCCCGGCUAACUCCGUG